GAGUUCGAUCAUGGCUCAGAUUGAACGCUGGCGGGAUUUACAUGCAAGUCAGGCGGCAGCACGGACUUCGGUCUGGUGGCGAGUGGCAAGUAGGUGAGUAAUGUAUCGGAACGUGCCUAGUAGCGGGGGAUAACUACGCAAGCGUAGCUAAUACCACAUGCAUGUCGGGGAAAGCAGGGGACCUUCGGGCCUCGCACUAUUAGGAAGCGGCCGAUAUCGGAUUAGCAGCUAGUUGGUGGGGGUAACGGCUCGCGGGCGACGAUCGUAGCUGGUUUGAAGGACGACCAUCCACACUGGGACUGGACGUGGGCUCACGGGAGGCGGCAGUGGGAAUUUUGGACGAUGGAAACCUGAUCCAGCCGUCGGCGUGUGCGAUGAAGGCCUUCGGGUUGUAAAGCACCUGGCGGAAAGAAACGUGGCAGGAUAAUACCCCGUGCAACUGACGGUACCUGCAGAAUAAGCACCGGCUAACUACGUGCCAGCAGCCGCGGUAAUACGUAGGGUGCAAGCGUUAAUCGGAAUUACUGGGCGUAAAGCGUGCGCAGGCGGUUCGGAAAGAAGAUGUGAAAUCCCAGAGCUUAACUUUGGAACUGCAUUUUUAACUACCGAGCUAGAGAGAGUGUGUCAGAGGGAGGUGGAAUUCCGCGUGUAGCAGUGAAAUGCGUAGAUAUGCGGAGGAACACCGAUGCUUGAAGGCAACCUCUAGGAUAACUGACGCUCAUGCACGAAAAGCAUUAAGGGCAAACAGGAUUAGAUACCCUAGUAGUCCACGCCUAAACGAUGUCAACUAGCUGUUGGGGCCUUCCCAGGUCUUAGUAGCGCAACUAACGCGUGAAGUUGACCGCCUAAGAGUACGGUCGCAAGAUUAAAACUCAAAGGAAUUUGACGGGGACCCGCACAAGCGGUGGAUGAUGUGGAUUAAUUCGAUGCAACAUAAAACUACCUACCCCUUGACAUGUCUGGAAUCGAAGGGUUGGGGAGUGCUCGCAGAGAACCGGAACCUGGGUGCUGCAUGGCUGUCGUCAGCUCGUGUCGUGAGAUGUUGGGUUAAGUCCCGCAACAGGCGCAACCCUUGUCAUUAGUUGCUACGAAAGGGCACUCUAAUGAGACUGCCGGUGACAAACCGGAGGAAGGUGGGGAUCGACGUCAAAAGUCCUCAUCAGCCCAUAUGGUGAACUUCACACACGUCAUACAAUGGUCGGGACAGAGGGUCGCCAACCCGCGAGGAGCCAAUCGAAACCCGAUCGUAGUCCGGAUCGCAGUCUGCAACUCGACUGCGUGAAGUCGGAAUCGCUAAUAAUCGCGGAUCAGCAUGUCGCGGUGAAUACGUUCCCGGGUCUUGUACACGCCGCCCGUCACACCAUGGGAGUGGGUUUUAUAAGUAGUUAGCCUAGCCGUAAGGAGGGCGAUUACCACGGUAAGGAUUCAUGACUGGGGUGAAGUCGUAACAAGGUAA
Molecule: ribosomal RNA, 1456 nt
Filed under: uncultured Bordetella sp.
Lineage: Bacteria; Pseudomonadati; Pseudomonadota; Betaproteobacteria; Burkholderiales; Alcaligenaceae
Description: partial 16S-23S ribosomal RNA intergenic spacer
Rfam family: Bacterial small subunit ribosomal RNA
Source: RNAcentral